Molecule: ribosomal RNA, 441 nt
Filed under: Caloctenus sp.
Lineage: Eukaryota; Metazoa; Arthropoda; Arachnida; Araneae; Ctenidae
Description: partial large subunit ribosomal RNA
Source: RNAcentral
UAUUAGAAAUAAUUAUUAGUAAAAUCUGCUCAAUGAAAUUUAAUAGCCGCUAUAUAGUGCUAAGGUAGCAUAAUCAUUUGUCUUUUAAUUUAAGACUAGAACAAAAGAUUUAACAUUUAAAUUUAUAUUUUUAUUAUAAUUAUAAAAAUUAUUCUAAUUGUAAAAAAACAAUUUUAGAAAAAAAAGACGAUAAGACCCUAUCGAACUUAACUUUAGUUUAACUGGGGUAGUUAAUUAAUUAAUAUUUUAAUAUUAUAUAAUAUAAUAUAAAUAGACCUAAUACAUUUAAAUAUAUAAUUAAGUUACCGUAGGGAUAACAGCGUAAUAAAAUUUUUAAGUUCUUAUUUAAAAUUAAGUUUACGACCUCGAUGUUGAUUUAAUUUUCUAAUUAACGCAAUAGUAAAUUAAGAAAGUCUGUUCGACUUUUAAAAAUUUACAUGA